RNAcentral lists this ribosomal RNA (608 nucleotides) under uncultured bacterium. RNAcentral describes it as "bacterial SSU rRNA". It matches the Rfam family "Bacterial small subunit ribosomal RNA", at positions 331 to 933 of the family's 1533-position model. The record is from RNAcentral.
CCAGACUCCUACGGGAGGCAGCAGUGGGGAAUAUUGCACAAUGGGCGCAAGCCUGAUGCAGCGACGCCGCGUGGGGGAUGACGGCCUUCGGGUUGUAAACUCCUUUCGUUAGGGACGAAGCCACACCUUUUUUUGGGUGUGGUGACGGUACCUUUGUUAAGAAGCACCGGCUAACUACGUGCCAGCAGCCGCGGUAAUACGUAGGGUGCGAGCGUUGUCCGGAAUUACUGGGCGUAAAGAGCUCGUAGGUGGUUUGUUGCGUCGUCUGUGAAAUUCCGGGGCUUAACUUCGGGGUGGCAGGCGAUACGGGCAUAACUAGAGUGCUGUAGGGGAGACUGGAAUUCCUGGUGUAGCGGUGGAAUGCGCAGAUAUCAGGAGGAACACCGAUGGCGAAGGCAGGUCUCUGGGCAGUAACUGACGCUGAGGAGCGAAAGCAUGGGGAGCGAACAGGAUUAGAUACCCUGGUAGUCCAUGCUGUAAACGGUGGGCGUUAGGUGUGGGGACCGGUUUGGUUUCUGUGCCGUAGCUAACGCAUUAAGCGCCCCGCCUGGGGAGUACGGCCGCAAGGCUAAAACUCAAAGGAAUUGACGGGGGCCCGCACAAGAGGG